CUAAUAAGUGACGGUACCUUACCAGAAAGGGACGGCUAACUACGUGCCAGCAGCCGCGGUAAUACGUAGGUCCCGAGCGUUAUCCGGAAUUAUUGGGCGUAAAGGGCACGUAGGCGGACAAAUAAAGUUUGAUGUCAAAUAAUGAUGGCUCAACCAUCAAGAGGCGUUGAAAACUGUUUAUCUAGAAUCUCGGAGAGGUAAGUGGAAUUCCAUGUGUAGCGGUGGAAUGCGUAGAUAUAUGGAGGAACACCAAUGGCGAAGGCAGCUUACUGGACGAAGAUUGACGCUGAGGUGCGAAAGCGUGGGUAGCAAACAGGAUUAGAUACCCUGGUAG
This 334-nucleotide ribosomal RNA is filed under the name uncultured bacterium. Its description in RNAcentral is "bacterial SSU rRNA". It matches the Rfam family "Bacterial small subunit ribosomal RNA", at positions 462 to 793 of the family's 1533-position model. The record is from RNAcentral.